Molecule: non-coding RNA, 70 nt
Organism: Podarcis lilfordi (Lilford's wall lizard)
Lineage: Eukaryota; Metazoa; Chordata; Lepidosauria; Squamata; Lacertidae
Source: the annotation of a GenBank genome assembly
GGCAGUAGCUCAGUGGUGGAACAUCUGCCUUGCAUGCAGAAGGUCUCAGGUUCAAUCCUCAGCAUUGCCA